This is a long non-coding RNA of Lycium ferocissimum, 552 nucleotides long. RefSeq lists it as uncharacterized. The transcript has 3 exons. Lineage: Eukaryota; Viridiplantae; Streptophyta; Magnoliopsida; Solanales; Solanaceae. The record is from RefSeq and is a predicted model, not a curated record.
AGGCCUUUUUGUUACUUUUGCUUCUUCAGCUAGGGUUUGCCGCCACCAUGUUACCCUCUCUCUCUCUCUCUCUCUCUCUCUUCAUUGUCAUCAUCGAUGAAAGUAGUAAGUUUUCAGGUGAAGAACCUUUUUGCCAGGUUGUGUUCAACCAUUUGAGGCAAAGGCAUUAAAUGCCUUCAUCUUCUCUCCUCUCCCCUACCGUGAAACCACCAUGGAAAUGUUGUGGGUGAAGGAAUUUGAAGAAUCUUCAAAUCCAAUACUCGAUUUAGGCUGCACACGAGAAAGAGGCCCAACACUUUUAUUUGAUCGAGUCUGAGAGAUAGAAAGGGAAGAAACUAUGAUGAAGGCCCAUCCAUGGGUGAAAAUGGAGGCGGGCGGGUUUGGUAGGCCCACCAGCUUAAUUUUCUUCCUUUUCAUUUAUGUGUAUAUGUUAUCUAUGUAUAUGUGUUGUAUAUGUAAACAAACUAUGUGAAAUAUUGAAACCCUUAUAUAUGUUAGAACUUAGGAAAAUGCUUAGUAUUUUAGGAAAGUCGACCUAAAAAACCAUUUUUU